This 253-nucleotide unclassified non-coding RNA is filed under the name Hevea brasiliensis (rubber tree). The record is from RNAcentral. Lineage: Eukaryota; Viridiplantae; Streptophyta; Magnoliopsida; Malpighiales; Euphorbiaceae.
AAGAAAACACAGUUAUGAAUAUAUUUCAAACUUUGUUCCUAAACUAUAACAGUUAAAGUCAAUUUUCUGUAGUGGAGUGAAUGUAGCAUUUCUUGAUUGUGUCUUGUUGAAUGUUUAUGGAAAGAAUUCAGCAAUCAGAAUAUAUGUAUUUUGGUUCGGUUGACUUUGGUUGUUCAAUUCAUUCUCCAUAUCAACAACAAAUUAUAUCAAGUUAAUUUUCAAAGGAACAAAGGUAACAGGACUGUAUAAAAUG